AGAUUGAACGCUGGCGGCAUGCCUUACACAUGCAAGUCGAACGGCAGCACGGGGGCAACCCUGGUGGCGAGUGGCGAACGGGUGAGUAAUGCAUCGGAACGUGCCCAGUAGUGGGGGGAUAACUAGUCGAAAGAUUAGCUAAUACCGCAUACGACCUAUGGGUGAAAGCGGGGGAUUCGCAAGAACCUCGCGCUAUCGGAGCGGCCGAUGUCUGAUUAGCUAGUUGGCGGGUAAAAGCCCACCAAGGCUUCGAUCAGUAGCUGGUCUGAGAGGACGACCAGCCACACUGGGACUGAGACACGGCCCAGACUCCGUACGGGAGGCAGCAGUGGGGAAUUUUGGACAAGUGGGCGCAAGCCUGAUCCAGCCAUCGCCGCGUGCGGGAAGACGGCCGUUCGGUUCGUUAACCGCUUUUGGCUAGGACGAAACGGCGCGAGCGAAUAUCUACGUCGUUAAGUGACGUACCUG
RNAcentral lists this ribosomal RNA (468 nucleotides) under uncultured soil bacterium. RNAcentral describes it as "bacterial SSU rRNA". It matches the Rfam family "Bacterial small subunit ribosomal RNA", at positions 26 to 480 of the family's 1533-position model. The record is from RNAcentral.